UACAGAGGUCUCAAGCGUUAAUCGGAAUUACUGGGCGUAAAGCGCGUGUAGGCGGAUGAGCAAGUCUGCUGUGAAAGCUCCUGGCUUAACCGGGAGUGGUCGGUGGAAACUGCUCGUCUGGAGGACGGUAGAGGUAGGUAGAAUUCCCGGUGUAGUGGUGAAAUGCGUAGAGAUCGGGAGGAAUACCUGUGGCGAAGGCGGCCUACUGGGCCGGACCUGACGCUGAGACGCGAAGGCGUGGGGAGCGAACGGG
RNAcentral lists this ribosomal RNA (253 nucleotides) under uncultured bacterium. Its description in RNAcentral is "partial 16S ribosomal RNA". It matches the Rfam family "Bacterial small subunit ribosomal RNA", at positions 524 to 776 of the family's 1533-position model. The record is from RNAcentral.